This 1309-nucleotide ribosomal RNA is filed under the name metagenome. RNAcentral's name for it is "bacterial SSU rRNA". It matches the Rfam family "Bacterial small subunit ribosomal RNA", at positions 162 to 1497 of the family's 1533-position model. The record is from RNAcentral.
GCUAGUACCGCAUAAGCCCACGGGUCGGCAUCGACCAGAGGGAAAAGGAGCAAUCCGCUUUGAGAUGGCCUCGCGUCCGAUUAGCUAGUUGGUGAGGUAACGGCCCACCAAGGCGACGAUCGGUAGCCGGACUGAGAGGUUGAACGGCCACAUUGACUGAGACACGGCCCAGACUCCUACGGGAGGCAGCAGUGGGGAAUAUUGCACAAUGGGGGAAACCCUGAUGCAGCGACGCCGCGUGGAGGAAGAAGGUCUUCGGAUUGUAAACUCCUGUUGUUGAGGAAGAUAAUGACGGUACUCAACAAGGAAGUGACGGCUAACUACGUGCCAGCAGCCGCGGUAAAACGUAGGUCACAAGCGUUGUCCGGAAUUACUGGGUGUAAAGGGAGCGCAGGCGGGAAGACAAGUUGGAAGUGAAAUCCAUGGGCUUAACCCAUGAACUGCUUUCAAAACUGUUUUUCUUGAGUAGUGCAGAGGUAGGCGGAAUUCCCGGUGUAGCGGUGGAAUGCGUAGAUAUCGGGAGGAACACCAGUGGCGAAGGCGGCCUACUGGGCACCAACUGACGCUGAGGCUCGAAAGUGUGGGUAGCAAACAGGAUUAGAUACCCUGGUAGUCCACACCGUAAACGAUGAUUACUAGGUGUUGGAGGAUUGACCCCUUCAGUGCCGCAGUUAACACAAUAAGUAAUCCACCUGGGGAGUACGACCGCAAGGUUGAAACUCAAAGGAAUUGACGGGGGCCCGCACAAGCAGUGGAGUAUGUGGUUUAAUUCGACGCAACGCGAAGAACCUUACCAAGUCUUGACAUCCUGUGACAGACGUAGAAAUACGUUCUUCCUUCGGGACACAGAGACAAGUGGUGCAUGGUUGUCGUCAGCUCGUGUCGUGAGAUGUUGGGUUAAGUCCCGCAACGAGCGCAACCCUUAUGGUCAGUUACUACGCAAGAGGACUCUGGCCAGACUGCCGUUGACAAAACGGAGGAAGGUGGGGAUGACGUCAAAUCAUCAUGCCCUUUAUGACUUGGGCUACACACGUACUACAAUGGCGUUAAACAAAGAGAAGCAAGACCGCGAGGUGGAGCAAAACUCAGAAACAACGUCCCAGUUCGGACUGCAGGCUGCAACUCGCCUGCACGAAGUCGGAAUUGCUAGUAAUCGUGGAUCAGCAUGCCACGGUGAAUACGUUCCCGGGCCUUGUACACACCGCCCGUCACACCAUGAGAGCCGGGGGGACCCGAAGUCGGUAGUCUAACCGCAUGGAGGACGCCGCCGAAGGUAAAACUGGUGAUUGGGGUGAAGUCGGAACAAGGU